CUACGUACGUCGAGAAAGAAUGUAGACGACGACGACGACGACGACGACGACGACGGUGCCGAGUAUUGCAGACGUGUCGCGCGGUCGGUGACAGAGUGGACUCGUCCAAGAUGGCUGCGCAGUGAUCAGUCAGUAAGACGCCAUAAGACACGAUCGCGGACUAGACACACGAAAAUGCUUUCUCCGAACGAUUCUCGGCAUCGUUCUUACGAUAUACAUCGAAACCGGGACUGAGAAGGAGUUUAAACCGCCGUUCUGAGGCAUUCUAAAACGAUGGUCUAGAAAUAUCUGCUGGUCGAUACAUGUAUCUCUGUCUCUCUGUGAACAAGACACAGGCGCGCGCCGAAAGACAAUGGCGACGUCCACUUGCACGCGUAUCUCAUGGCAGCACCUCAUGGCACGCACAAUUCUUCCCGCUGAUAAUUUCUCCAUUUACAUAAUACAUUUUAGCCGGGAAAAAAGAACGGAUUACACAGCCGUAGUAAACGCGACGCGGUCUCUAAUGAGAUGAAUGUUCGUCGUCGAGUCGAGCCAAUCACGCACAAGAACAAUUAUAUUUACUACGUGCAGGUAAACGGCGUAAAAAAAGGUUUAUCGUUAAUGAAUUGUGGCAUGAAACACGUCCUACGAUUCGACCUAAUCAAUUGUCUUUUUCGCGUUUUACGCGCGGUUAUUAAUAGACUCACGCUUUCCCGUUUAGUAAUUUCAAUUUUCAAAUCUUCUAUCGAACGAUCGAAAAUCUGAUCUUGAACAGCAGAUAACGAACGUGCAAUCAACGACGUAAGUCGUCGAAAGAAAUAUGAUACCGAAUAAAUACGAAUUCUUUUCAA
Long non-coding RNA from Ceratina calcarata, 830 nucleotides. RefSeq lists it as uncharacterized. The transcript has 2 exons. NCBI's taxonomy places the organism in Eukaryota, Metazoa, Arthropoda, Insecta, Hymenoptera, Apidae. The record is from RefSeq and is a predicted model, not a curated record.